UACGUAGGGCGCAAGCGUUGUCCGGAAUUAUUGGGCGUAAAGAGCUCGUAGGCGGUUUGUCGCGUCUGUCGUGAAAGCCCACGGCUUAACCGUGGGUCUGCGGUGGAUACGGGCAGACUAGAGGCAGGUAGGGGAGAAUGGAAUUCCUGGUGUAGCGGUGAAAUGCGCAGAUAUCAGGAGGAACACCGGUGGCGAAGGCGGGUCUCUGGGCCGAUACUGACGCUGAGGAGCGAAAGCGUGGGGAGCGAACAGG
RNAcentral lists this ribosomal RNA (253 nucleotides) under uncultured bacterium. RNAcentral describes it as "partial 16S ribosomal RNA". It matches the Rfam family "Bacterial small subunit ribosomal RNA", at positions 524 to 776 of the family's 1533-position model. The record is from RNAcentral.